AGAGUUUGAUCCUGGCUCAGAACGAACGCUGGCGGCGCGCCUAAUACAUGCAAGUCGAGCGAGAAGACGUAGCAAUACGUUUGUAAAGCGGCGAACGGGUGAGGAAUACAUGGGUAACCUACCCUCGAGUGGGGAAUAACUAGCCGAAAGGUUAGCUAAUACCGCAUACGACUCCUGGUCUGCGGAUCGGGAGGGAAAGCGAUACCGUGGGUAUCGCGCUCUUGGAUGGGCUCAUGUCCUAUCAGCUUGUUGGUGAGGUAAUGGCUCACCAAGGCUUCGGCGGGUAGCUGGUCUGAGAGGACGAUCAGCCACACUGGCACUGCGACACGGGCCAGACUCCUACGGGAGGCAGCAGUAAGGAAUAUUGCGCAAUGGGCGACAGCCUGACGCAGCGACGCCGCGUGGGGGAUGAAGGUCUUCGGAUUGUAAACCCCUUUCGGCAGGGAAGAUGGAACGGGUAACCGUUCGGACGGUACCUGCAGAAGCAGCCACGGCUAACUUCGUGCCAGCAGCCGCGGUAAUACGAAGGUGGCAAGCGUUGUUCGGAUUUACUGGGCGUACAGGGAGCGUAGGCGGUUGGGUAAGCCCUCCGUGAAAUCUCCGGGCCUAACCCGGAAAGUGCGGAGGGGACUGCUCGGCUAGAGGAUGGGAGAGGAGCGCGGAAUUCCCGGUGUAGCGGUGAAAUGCGUAGAGAUCGGGAGGAAGGCCGGUGGCGAAGGCGGCGCUCUGGAACAUUUCUGACGCUGAGGCUCGAAAGCGUGGGGAGCAAACAGGAUUAGAUACCCUGGUAGUCCACGCCUUAAACGAUGGAUACUAAGUGUCGGCGGGUUACCGCCGGUGCCGCAGCUAACGCAUUAAGUAUCCCGCCUGGGAAGUACGGCCGCAAGGUUGAAACUCAAAGGAAUUGACGG
RNAcentral lists this ribosomal RNA (911 nucleotides) under uncultured bacterium. RNAcentral's name for it is "bacterial SSU rRNA". It matches the Rfam family "Bacterial small subunit ribosomal RNA", at positions 8 to 916 of the family's 1533-position model. The record is from RNAcentral.